Erigeron canadensis is the source of this 706-nucleotide long non-coding RNA. RefSeq lists it as uncharacterized. The record is from RefSeq and is a predicted model, not a curated record. NCBI's taxonomy places the organism in Eukaryota, Viridiplantae, Streptophyta, Magnoliopsida, Asterales, Asteraceae. The transcript is spliced from 4 exons.
AGAAUUUUGACCAAAAGUAAGUACAGUAAAAACCAUGUACAUAAAACCAGUGUUCACCAGAAAGUUAUUGUUUGGGGCAAGCCAAACACUCAGACAACAAACAAAAGAAAAGAGGGAAGAGAGGGAAGUGGAUGUUUUUAAAGGGUUGUUGACCCCCCUCUCUUUCCAAUGAUCUGCUCCCCCAAAUUUCAACAACGACCCUUUUGCAAUUUCUGGUUUUAUGUAGAAUGGUACACUCUUUCAAGGGAAAAGCGUAUAAAGGGCCAUAUUUAUACUUUUGUCAUGGAUGUAUUGUACUAUUGUAUUUUGUAAUCGGCAUCAUACACGCUCGAUUAUAUUCCAGUAUUAGUAUCCGACCCGCUUUGCGAGUAACCCAGAGUCGUUGCAGGUGAAUCUAAGCGGCCAUAUGGGGGUUUAGUUUUUGCUUGUAGGAGUAGAGCUUGGGACCUCCAGUUCAAACGACUAGCAACGUGGCAUAUCGAUUUCUUGAUGGCAAUGGCUAGCAAGGGAGAUCGUUAUUGAUUCGAGUUGAUGCUUUCAUCAACUACGGUUUCUGUUGAGUCAUAUGUUCGAUAAAUGUCGUGUUUUUCAUAAUAUACUCUCCAUAAUGUGUAGAUAUGUUCGACAAUGUGUGUGUUUGUAAAGACGUUUUAUGAAAUUUAUGUAAUGACAAUUUUGAAUUUUUGAUAGUUACAUUCGUUUCGAU